Molecule: long non-coding RNA, 3375 nt
Organism: Hypanus sabinus (Atlantic stingray)
Lineage: Eukaryota; Metazoa; Chordata; Chondrichthyes; Myliobatiformes; Dasyatidae
Exons: 4
Source: RefSeq, a predicted model, not a curated record
UUACGUGGUGCUGCACAUGAGGCUGCUAAACAAGCUCAAGAUUCUGGUGAACGAUGUCUGCCACUUGAUUGUAGUUGUUGUACUGCACUGCAUUCAGUCUUCACUAGAAGAAAUUGGGAAUAUCUUUAUUGAACUCAGCUGAGUAAUCCGGUCUCUCAUAUCCUGAACUAUUAUAUGUAAGCCCGAGGAACUGCACCUCAUCUUCUGCCUGGAUACAUUGCAACCUUCCAGACUCAAUGAUGAUUUCAACAAUUUCAGAAACUGCCUGACCUGCAAAGUUUUUUUCCACUUUUUCUCCUGAUUAUUAUCACAUUACAUUGAUUGCUCAGUGAUUGUAGACUUCAGGAGAGUGAAACCAGAGGUCCAUGAGCCAGUAAUCAUUGAGGGAUCGGAGAUGGAGAGGAUCAGUAACUUUAACUUCCUGGGUAUCACUAUCUCAGAGGACCUGUCCUGUAGUUAAAAAGAAAGCACGACAGCACCUCUACUUCCUCAUGAGUCUGUGGAGAUUUGGCAUGUCAUCAAACACCUUGGCAAGAUUCUAUAUAUGUGUAGUGGAAAGUGUGCUGACUGGCUGCAUUAUACAACCUGGUAUGGGAACAGCAAUGCCUUUGAGUGUAAAAUCCUACAAAAGGAUUUGGCACAGUACAUCACAGGUAAAGCCUUUCCAACCACUGAGCACAUCUAUAUGAAAUGUUGCCGUAGAAAAGCAGCAUCCAUCAUCUAAGACCCUCACCGCCCAGGCAAUGCAAUUUUCUCACUGCUGCCAUCAGGUACAAGGUAUGAGUGUCUCACGACUCAUACCAGUAGGUUCAAGAACAGUUACUAUCCCUGAACUAUCAGGCUCUUGAACAAAAGGGGACAACUACACUCAUUCAAUUUCUGGUGUUCCCACAACCGAUGGUCUCACUUGAUGGAAUCUAUUAUUUCAUGCUCUCAUUAUUUAUUGCUAUUUACAUAUAUCUGUAUUUGUACAGUUUGUUGUUCAUUGAUCCUGUUUAUAGUUAAUGUUCUUUAGAUUUGCCUACUAUGUAUGUACUCUGAUAAUAUUUUUUACUUUGAAAUUUGAACUUGGCAAUUUCAUUGGUGGACAUCGUGAAGGAUGACUUGGCAGUACUAUUAUUGACCAAUCCUAUAGUUUUGGCUUUCCGUACUGUUUACAGAUUUCCUGAGUAGAAUGGGGCCAUUCAGCCCAUCACCUGCUCCAAAGCAAAGCAAACCCAUUCCCUACAAUGUCAUACUAUCCUAAAUUCUACACACUGGCUUCUAUUUGCAAUGGCCAAGUAACCUAUCCUCCCACCCAUUUGGUAUGUCAGAGGAUACUGUGGCUCCAGGAGGACAAAUAUUCAGAUCCUCUACAAAAUCACAAAAGAGCCUUAAUUUUUUAAUCAGCUCAUACCAUCCUUAGAUCUUCAAGAUUCCAGAUUUCAAGAUUCAAGAUUGUUUAAAAUUAUUUCCAGUACACAAGUUUAAAGAAGAAUGAAGUAAUUAUAACUACCGAUCUGAUAUAGCAUAAAAAAACACACUAAUAUAAAGAAAGCUCAAAAGGUAUAAAUACAUAAGAUAUAUUAUGUAUGUAGAUUAAUAGUACAUCAAUCUAUUUUAAUCUGCAUAAUCAAUCUAAUUAGUUGUUGCAAAUGUUGUCAUUUUCAAAUAUCUAUUCAUUUUCAAAUGAAUAAAAACACACUGAAUUUAAUGACAGUGGUAGAAGACAGCAAAACUCCACACCUCCCUUUCACCAUCUUCACUUACCUAUCUUCUGCCAUUUCUGGAGUUUUGUCUUCUCUAAGAGCCUGUCUCAGGAGCUCCAAAGGUGGGGAUUUUGCACCACGUCAUCCAAGGCCUAGUUUCAAGGAGAGAGGAGCUAGAGAUAUUGACCCUAGCCCAAUAGGAUGACAUGGUAGUGUAGUGGUAAGCACAAUGCUUUACAGCAUAGACAACCAAGGUUCAAUUCCCACUGCUGCCUCUAAGGAAUUUGUAUGCUCUCCCUGGGACCGCAUGGGUUUCCGCCAGGUGCUCCAGUUUCCUUCCACAGUUCAAAGUUGGUAGGUUAAUUGGUCAUUGUGAAUUGUCCCAUGAUGAGGCUAGGAACACGGCUCAAGGGGCUGGGAGGGCCUGUUCCAUACCACAUCUCAAUAAAAUAAAAUUUUAAAAGCUCCAGGCAUGCAGACUCCACAGGUGACAAUUCAGCCUCAUUCAGAAUAAUCUAGCCUCAUAACUCUCUGGAUGAUUUGAACAUCAGUUAUAGAAAAUUAGAAGUGAAUAAACCAACAUAAAUCAGUUUUACAGAGAACUCUUGCAGCCAACUCACAGAAGAAGCAUUUACUUUAAUAUUUGUGAACUGAAUUAAAAUCCAUAUGUGCAUAGAUAGCAUUUAACACAUUUCUUUAUUCUGUCUAUCUUUGCUUCCUGCCUUGCUUAUCAUGAAGUACCAAAUUCAACUGGUGGUAUGUUAAAUAAACCUAAUAAGAUAAGUUAUAUUCCCUCUGGGGGUUGUGUAACAUUUUUAGGGGGAGGGAUGGUUGUCUGUUCUUCAAAAGAUGUAAAUUUGGUGGUGAAAAUAUUGUAAGGUCAGAAGCUGCAGCUGAUUGUAAAAGCAGCACAUCUGCACAUAAGCAAUCGUGCAACAUGGGAGGAAAAUUAGAACACAAACAGAUUUGGUAUCUCGUGUUUUAUUAACCAGCUUAUUGGUAGAUCACAAGGCUGUACUCAGGGGUGUGCAAUAAAAUAUUCAUCGCUUAAUCAAAAUGAGCAGCAGUGCAUUUGCUUAUUCAACAAAGAGGUGCAAGAAGCGAUUCAUGAGGAUGAUCCCAGGAUUGAACGGGUUAAUUUACGAAGAGAGUUUGAUGGCUCUGGGCCUGUGCACGCUGGAAUUUAGAAAAAUGAGCAUCUCACCAGAACCAAAUGGCGUAAUUCUGUUCCUUUCUCUGAUGGUCAACUGUUUGGAUGUUCCUCGGGUCUUUCCAUGCAUAAUUUUGUCCACAGAGAACCAUUUAUCACAGUUCAAAAGUUAGUCUUUGUGAAGAAUUGCUGCAGCCUCUGGAUAUGAUACAAGGAAAUAUUAAAGAUGUAAGCAAAGAGGCAGACUCUUGUUGUAGCAAUUGCAGUGUUCUGAAAGGCAGUCUUGAUAUAUUUCAAUUAAUGGUUUCCCACUGCGUAUAGCAAACAAGCAGCUGUUAAAUACACAGGCAUUUUAGUCAACAACAAACAAUUUAAAUUAACAUUUAUGUCUGUGGUGGUUCCAAGCACAACAAAUGGCACAUAUUUCCCCAAACACCAUGGUAUGCACAAGACAUAUCUAUUACAUACAUGGAUGUGUGAAAUGUACUGAGUUUCUGGCAACUGAGGAGAUAAUAUCGUAACUCCUGACUGGGCAUA